CCCCAGCGAAGGGAAACAAAACAAAACGCCGGCACCGCCGCGCUCUCCCUCCUUCUCCUCCUGGCAUUUGGUGGUGGUUUUUUUUUCUUGGGGACUCUCCUUUCUCCUGCCAGACUGACUUGCACCUUCUCGAUUAUUUCUCUUCCCCUCGUUUUUUUAUACUCUUCUCCCUGCUUCCAAACCCUGUGUCUGUGUGUUUUAAUACUAUCACAACCUCUGCUAAAAAUAGAUCUUUUUAUAUACCCUUCCUCCUCUCUGAUCCCAUCCAACACCCCUUGUUAAGGAAACCAUCUUAAGCCCUGAGCAAGAAACGUAAGUUCAUUUGAUUGUCCCUUCUCUCUACGGGACCUGAUGUGUGAGUGGACUAGGGAAAGGAGAUUAAGAAAAACUCCAAGGACCUACAGAUCAUCUUGC
Molecule: long non-coding RNA, 414 nt
Filed under: Dromaius novaehollandiae (emu)
Lineage: Eukaryota; Metazoa; Chordata; Aves; Casuariiformes; Dromaiidae
Description: lncRNA (ENSDNVG00000007204.1)
Source: RNAcentral